UUUCACCCCAAAUGUUUAUGAUUGCAUUGUAAAGAUCACUUAAAAUGACUUAAUAAUUUCUUUUAUAGAAUUUUGGUAACUUGCUUCCUUUGCAAGAUAUUCAACUUUGUUUCAUAUACAAAUAUCACCGGUGUGACAUCACAUCGCAUAAUGACAUUUUGAAAACGCAAUAUUUUACCUUCACAAAAUAUUUUUACAAACAAAUACAGAGGGUUAAUUACCAGUUAUGAAAUUAAUACAUAUACAAGGCAAUUUUUAAGUUUUUUUGAUACGUAUUCGUCGAGAAAACUAUACUUUUCUGAAAACUCAUUAUGCGAUGUGAUGUCACACCGGUGAUAUUUGCAUAUGGAACAAAGUUGAAUAUCUUGAAAAGGGAGCAAGUUACCAAAAUUCUAUAAAAGAAAUUAUUAAGUCAUUUUAAGUGAUCUUUACAAUGCAACCAUAAACAUUUGGGGUGAAAUUUCGUGUCAUAGGCACUUUAAAGCGUCCAUUUAAAGGCCCGUUUCCACUUGUAAUUUCUGCUCCGAUUUUAUUGGAAGUGCAAUUUCCUUCUGAUGGAUGUGAACGAGCGGAUGAGUUAUGGAUGUUCAGAUGUGGGUCUCCACUGCGCAUCCAAAUGACGCGUUCUGCGCAAGCGAACGUGUAGUAGAGACCAUUCAUUUCAAUGGUUGAGACCGGAAGGUUAUAAUAUGCAUACAAGGGUAUAUAGCAGUUGAAUCAUUGUUUGCAUUUCACUUGUAAAGCCACAAUCAAAAUGUCAUUAAAGUUUUUUAAACAUGCUGGCAAAUAGCAACUGUUUGUAUAUUCAUGUAGCAUAUUGAACAUUUGAUAUGUAUAUUCUAAUUCUACAUGUUCAGCUUGGUCUCUUCAUUUUUAUUAUGUAUGUAUAUCAUACAUACACUUCAUAUCAUACAUACACACGAUGAUGGAUAUCAUCAUACAGACACAUUGAUAACCUGUACCUCAUCCCCAUUCUAACCCCUAACCAGAGGCGUCUAACCCCUCGCCCUGGUGGGGGCAACGAAAGACCCGUCUGCGUGCGAUGUGGAUGCGCAGUGGGGGGAUUUCACUCGUUUCCGGUGUGGGUUAGUUAUAUAACCAUUUAACACCUCUUCCGUUUUCGUACAAUAGCGUCAUGUCAGUUGCAUGGAAACGAGUAUACUGGCCGUUGAAACUCCGAGGGAUUGCCAUUAAACUUAAUACGUUCGUAACUCGUCUGCUUGUUCACAUGCUCAGAAGACGAAAAUCGCCGCAAAAAUGCAAGAGUCAGCGGGUCUUAAAAUGUCGCGUCUUGUAAUUCCGUAAAGUACACAGGUCGUGCGUUGUACUAUCAUUCUCCUUUGCUUCAAUAGAAACUACGUUAAUUGUUGCCUUGAAUAUCGACCAAGAAGUCAAUGAACUUCAACGUUUGUUGUAGUAGAACAGGCAGUUAAUGUUAAUCAUACGAUUGUACAACAAUUUUCAGUGGCUGUUUAUCUCUUCUCACAACGGGUUGCCAGGGCAGUGCCUUCGUUAUGUACAUCACAAUAUGUCUGAGUACAGUAGGCACCUACAGUGCAUAAUCUGAACAAAACUAAAGUCUGGUUUUGCCUAGGUAAAUUCUGAGUUUUGAAGGAUUUGUAAGAAAUGUUUAAGCAAUAUUGAGUCACUUCCCUCGAACAUUUCUUACAAAUCUUUCAAAAAUUAGAAUUGUCUAUGCAAAAUUCCCACUGUGAUCUUAGAAAUUUUGAUAGUGUAAUCCAGCUUAAAUGAUGGAGACUGUCAAUACUGCUGUAUCAGUAUCAACUAAAUAUCUUUGGAAAUGAUUACUGAUUAAGUUUUGUGUGACGUAAUCUUUACCCAAAUACUUUGGCUUAGGGACGGGCCAUUAGAAAAGUGAUGGGGGGGGGGGGGGUCCAUUUCCAAUCUGUACGAUCAUUUUUUCAAAAAUUUUUGCUUGUGUCGCUAAUUUUUUUUUUUACUAAUCCCUUGCUCGAAUUUUAUUUUGGGGGAAAAUUUUCAGGACAUUAAAACGUUUUAUUUUCCAAAUUUGGGGGCCACCCUUACACAACUUAUAAUUUUCCCUCUUGAAAAGUCUCUGCACGAAUUUUUUUUUUAACUUUUCGUGCUCGAUUUUUUUUUCUGUUUCCCCUGCUCGAUUUUUAUUUUUGCUUUUGCCCCCCCCCCAUCACUUUUCUAAUGGUCCGCCCCUUAUUUACAAUCAAUGGUCGACAAAUACACUUGCUAUUUGAGAUUCAUUUAUCAUGAAAGAUCGAAUCCCUUAAAAUGAUAAAACAUUUCUUUUGGUUUACUGUAGCAAAGCUUUUCAUCUGUCAUGGCUGUCUUCAUCAGUUAUAUAAGUUUGACUGUAUAAUGUCAUUGAUAAAAUUUCUUUACAGAUUAUUUGAAGAGUUCGUUUUGGCCGUCGUCGUUGCGUUGCCGUCCUAAAAUCGUAAGGUCUCUACCAACACCAGAGAGCUGCUGACUAAGAGGGAUUCAA
Molecule: non-coding RNA, 2479 nt
Organism: Paramuricea clavata
Lineage: Eukaryota; Metazoa; Cnidaria; Anthozoa; Malacalcyonacea; Plexauridae
Source: the annotation of a GenBank genome assembly